UACGUAGGUGACCAGCGUUGUCCGGAUUUACUGGGCGUAAAGAGCGCGCAGGCGGUCGUUCAAGUCGAGUGUGAAAGCCCCCGGCUCAACUGGGGAGGGUCAUUCGAUACUGAUCGACUCGAAGGCAGGAGAGGGAAGCGGAAUUCCCGGUGUAGUGGUGAAAUGCGUAGAUAUCGGGAGGAAUACCAGUGGCGAAGGCGGCUUCCUGGCCUGUUCUUGACGCUGAGGCGCGAAAGCUAGGGGAGCAAACGGG
This 253-nucleotide ribosomal RNA is filed under the name uncultured bacterium. RNAcentral's name for it is "partial 16S ribosomal RNA". It matches the Rfam family "Bacterial small subunit ribosomal RNA", at positions 524 to 776 of the family's 1533-position model. The record is from RNAcentral.